CAAUCGGCCCUUUCCAGGGCCAUCAAAUAUUUUUUUUUGCGUAGAA
Trichomalopsis sarcophagae is the source of this 46-nucleotide non-coding RNA. The record is from Rfam. NCBI's taxonomy places the organism in Eukaryota, Metazoa, Arthropoda, Insecta, Hymenoptera, Pteromalidae.